RNAcentral lists this unclassified non-coding RNA (323 nucleotides) under Hevea brasiliensis (rubber tree). Lineage: Eukaryota; Viridiplantae; Streptophyta; Magnoliopsida; Malpighiales; Euphorbiaceae. The record is from RNAcentral.
GAUACAGAUAGUUAACUUGAAAAAUUUAAUUACAAAGCUCGAGGAACCCAAAUGUAUUUUCACCGCUAUAUGUCAUAUAAAGGAAUCCGUCUUCAUCCUUGUUUUCCUCGUAAAUUGCAGACAUCAGAGCAGCAGUUGGAGGCAGAAUGUUUUUGACAAAGACAUAUAUGGCCUUUUCUGCACUGAGAUUGAUCCUCUUUCGGACAACGUAAACAAAUUGGCCAACAGUCAAGUCAGCUGGGACGAGAUACUUCUUCUUAUCAAUGUCGGAGAUAUCACUCUUUUCUGCUCUCUCAACAAUCACCGGAAUUCUGUCAGGAUAC